RNAcentral lists this ribosomal RNA (452 nucleotides) under Pintomyia robusta. RNAcentral's name for it is "eukaryotic LSU rRNA". It matches the Rfam family "Eukaryotic large subunit ribosomal RNA", at positions 2341 to 2651 of the family's 3401-position model. The record is from RNAcentral. Lineage: Eukaryota; Metazoa; Arthropoda; Insecta; Diptera; Psychodidae.
GUCCCUAUCUACUAUCUAGCGAAACCACAGCCAAGGGAACGGGCUUGGAAUCAUUAGCGGGGAAAGAAGACCCUGUUGAGCUUGACUCUAGUUUGGCACUGUAAGAAGACAUAAGAGGUGUAGCAUAAGUGGGAGAUAGGCUUGCUUAUCAACAAUGAAAUACCACUACUUUUAUCGUUUUCUUACUUACUUGAUUAAAUGGAGAAUGCACUUUCAUUCAUACCAUUUGUGUAUCGAUUUAUCUUUGCACCUAUGACUAUGAUGAUCUUGUGCACUUUUCUUGAUCCAAGUGUCAUGAACCGUUGGUACGUUUGUACAAUUUUGAUAUUGCUGGGGAGCAAUCUUUGGUGAUGUUGAAAUUGGAGUAUUAACAUUAUGGUUAAGACACGAUCCAAGUCAGGGACACUGCCAGGUGGGGAGUUUGACUGGGGCGGUACAUCUCUAAAACAAUA